CUUCUUCAACCGUGGAAAGAACAGAAAAUAGCAGCCAUGGAUGAGCUCCAUUCGCCAAGCUUUUAUGGCUUAUAUAGAUGAUGAAAAUUGAGACUUGGACCUAGAACGGAAAGAAAUCGAUUUAUGGACUAGUAUGUCCUUUUCACAUUUGUGGUAUCGAGGUAAGUUCAGUAUGUAAACAAUACCAUGCUAUACAUGUAUUUAAAUGUUAUCAUUACAUGAAUUGUACAGAUAUUAAUGUGUAUGUAAUUAAUAGAAAUAUGAUAAGACAAAGCCUUAAUAGACGAGGAAAAAUCCCGUUUGAACCUUAGGAAUAGAAUAGGAUACGAGUGACAUGUCACUAGGAAUUAUGAGUCUAGAUGACUAGCUCGAGAGUGAGCAUUGAAAUGUCAUGAGAUAUGAGGUAGCUUUAGCUACAAUUGAAGCACUUAUGUGCAAAGGCUUUUCCAGUAUCUAAUUAGUAUUCCAAGUGUUCAACGGGCAAUCCAAGGAAAGAGUUAAUGAUGGUCUCAAUGAGGUAAGUCAUUGGUGAGUAUGCACUCGAGUUAUGUUACGAGUUGUGCAAGUAUGUAUACUAAUCCUAUGAGAAUUCCUUGAUAUGUGAUGAUCUAUGAUGCAUAAUAUGUAUUCUUACCAUGAUGGAUAAAAUGGUGUUGUAUUAAUAUUAUGAACAAUGAUCAUGAAUGAGCAAUUUAGCCUUGACAGAUUUGAGUUACUGCAGUAGUGUAACUUUGAAAAUACACUAAAAAUAGUGGAAAAUGAGUUAGAGGUAGAAUAAAAUAUGGGAUUAAAGCUUAAUGAGUCUAUUUUCACAUGAAAGAAACAGAGGAAGAAAAAGAAUUCCAUAUUGUUUGAUAUGUGAAUUCUUGUGAAACAGGGUCUGAAUGAAUUCGAGAUCCCCUGUUCUUACUUUAGAAAUUCACCAAAAAUUGUACAAAAAUUAUUAAGAGUUAUACCUUACAUUAAUGGAUUCCUUAUUGAGUCUAUUUUUAUGGGGAAUAAACGGCAUGGUCGUUGAAUUUUGUACAGGGAGAAAUUCAGUUUGUAGUGUACAGGGGUCAGAGUGGUCAUACCCUGAAACAGGGGAUACUUUAACUAAUAAACUGUACUAUUUGGCUUAACCAAAAAUUCUUGAAAUUUUAUGGAAAAAAGGAAAAUAAGUCUAGUUUCAGGAAAAAUUAACGGAACUUAAUUCGGAGCUUCGUAGCUCCAGAUAUAAAUAAUUUAGUGACCGUUGCUCGUAAAGACACUUGUAGUGAACUUGAAAAUAUGUUGUAAACAUUGAUAAAACAAGUUAAUGAGUUGCUUAUUGUUUUCAUAUGAACUUACUAAGCUAAAGCUUACCCCCUUCUUUCCCAUGUUUUCUAGAGUUUCCAGGUUAGCUCGGGUUGGAGGCCGUCGAGAUAUUAUCACCCUAUCGAGUUAACGUUAUUUGAGUAAGUAAACUCAAGUGAUUCGAGUCUAUGGCAUGUAUAGGGUUUUAAUGUGAGUAUGUAAUAUUAUGAUUUAGCCAAAGGCGUGGCUUGUUAUUAAGGUAGUAUUAGUCAUGUAAAUUGGCCUAUGUCUGCUAAUGACAUUAUGGGCCCAUAUGAUUAUUCUUAUGCAUGUAUGUUAUUAUCUCUUGUGAUGUGGCUUACAACAUGUAUGCCUAGAGAUUGAAUUGAGAUUCAUUGAUGAGCUAGUAACUAAUGCAGGAUUAAGUGAUUGGUAAAUAGUUAAUAAUGCUUCAUGAAUGGUUUGUGAGGUAAUGAUAGUUAUGUCUAGUAUGUGGUAAUGAUAUGGGCAAAUUCUAUAAUAUUUAUUGCAUAAGAAAAUAACUUUAGCAUAACAUGUUUGUAGAUGUUUAAGAGCUCAUUUAUGCUACGUUGUAUGUUAUUGGAUAAGUAUGUAUCUAUGCAUGUGGUGUGAGAGUGACAAAAGGCUUGAUAAUUAGCCUAUUUUCGCCACACUACCGAGCACAUGGGCGUGUGAAGCCUUAACGCAAGAGAUUUUUCUAAGUUUUUCAUGAGUUCUCGAUUGGGUCCCGAACCGCCUGAAUGCAUGUAUUGGGCCUCGUAAGCUCGCAUAAGGGACAGAUUGCAUGUGAAAAGAAAAGUUUUUAAUUAUUUGAGAUUUCAUGGCCCUGUUUAGUAUGGAAGUGUUACUAAAAGUCAGGUAGCACCUCGAACCCCGUCCCGGCGUCGGAUGCGGGCGAGGGGUGUUACAAAGACGGUACAUGUUCAUGGAAAAUCAUGGCCUCGUUGAGGAAAAAAGACAAGCUUGUGGGAGAUAAAAAAAGUACAAAGGUCCACAUACAUGUGCUGUCGGUGUUUCGGAAGAUCAUCUCAAGAUGAAUUCAUAUAUGUUAGCUACCUUUAUACUACCGACGGAGAAGGCUGAUCCCAGAACUUUAGUGCCGAUCUUAAUUGCUAAUAUUCGUAGCCAGUUAAGGUACACGCCCUCUUAUCGCAAAGCUUGGAUAGCUAAGCAGAAGGCAUUGGAAAAGAUCCAUGGUGGUGGGACGUUUCAUAUAAUGAAGUGUGGCAGUGGUGUCAGGUGCUGGAGAGAUAUGUCCCAGGUUGCGUAACAGACUUUGAAAUGGAACCUGCAUACUACAAUAACCGAUUGCUCCGUAGAUGCCAAGUAUUUAAGCAUUUGUUCUGGAGCUUUAAGUAAUGUUGAGACGUAUUUCUAUAUUACAAGCCAUUGGUACAAUUUGAUGGUACCUUUAUGUACGGUAGAUAUACCCAUCGGCUAUUGCUAGUUGUGACACAGGAUGACAGUGGGAGAAUCUUUCCAAUUGUGCUUGCAAUAACACCAGGGGAGUCAGCUGAUAAUUGGGAGUUCUUUCUUUCUAGGUUAAUGAGGCAUGUCUGCCUCCAACCUAAUAUCUGCGUCAUAUCGGAUAAGGGCACUGGAAUUUUAGCCGCAAUUGAGCGACAGGGAAACUUGUGGCAUUGCACACAUCAUCGAUAUUGCCUAAGGCACGUUGCGUCUAACUACUACGGGCAAUUUCAAUUUACAAAUGAAAAAUGACAAAUGACCAACAUGGGUAUUUAAUAUCUAUUAAUGUAAUUUCGUUUGUAAUAUUGAAUUUAUUUUAAAGUGGUAUGUAAUUUUCGCUAUCAACUUAUAUUGGUAGGGUAUGAGAUAAGUAAGGACCGUUUUAAUGA
Gossypium arboreum is the source of this 3152-nucleotide long non-coding RNA. RefSeq lists it as uncharacterized. NCBI's taxonomy places the organism in Eukaryota, Viridiplantae, Streptophyta, Magnoliopsida, Malvales, Malvaceae. The record is from RefSeq and is a predicted model, not a curated record. The transcript has 3 exons.